CCUACGGGAGGCAGCAGUGAGGAAUAUUGGUCAAUGGACGAGAGUCUGAACCAGCCAAGUAGCGUGAAGGAUGACUGCCCUAUGGGUUGUAAACUUCUUUUAUAAAGGAAUAAAACGAGGCACGUGUGCCUUUUUGCAUGUACUUUAUGAAUAAGGAUCGGCUAACUCCGUGCCAGCAGCCGCGGUAAUACGGAGGAUCCGCGCGUUAUCCGGAUUUAUUGGGUUUAAAGGGAGCGUAGAUGGUUUGUUAAGUCAGUUGUGAAAGUUUGCGGCUCAACCGUAAAAUUGCAAUUGAUACUGGCAGUCUUGAGUACAGUUGAGGUAGGCGGAAUUCGUGGUGUAGCGGUGAAAUGCUUAGAUAUCACGAAGAACCCCGAUUGCGAAGGCAGCUUACUAAACUGUGACUGACAUUGAUGCUCGAAAGUGUGGGUAGCAAACAGGAUUAGAUACCCCAGUAGUC
This 460-nucleotide ribosomal RNA is filed under the name uncultured bacterium. Its description in RNAcentral is "partial 16S ribosomal RNA". It matches the Rfam family "Bacterial small subunit ribosomal RNA", at positions 338 to 795 of the family's 1533-position model. The record is from RNAcentral.